Molecule: non-coding RNA, 3623 nt
Organism: Triticum urartu
Lineage: Eukaryota; Viridiplantae; Streptophyta; Magnoliopsida; Poales; Poaceae
Source: RefSeq, a predicted model, not a curated record
UCAUGAGGGCUAAAGUCGGACCGCCUUCCAAAAACCGGCCUGGGUGGCAGCCAGCAAGGGAAGGCGGCUCCAUGUCUUGGAUUCUUGAGAGCCGGACGGGUUCGUAAUUUUUUCAGAAGGGCCAGGGAAAGCCGGCCAGGCUACCCAUGACUAUUUACUCCGACAGAUGAAGACUGAAUUAGUUCACAGUUGAUCUUGGUUCUAUACGAUCUUCUAUAUUUGGGUCUCGUAGGUCUGUCUCCCAAGUGCAACGAGAAGAAAUCUGUUAACACAUUACUGCAUUAUAUGUAACAUAUGUCCAUUUUCACGGAAUGAAGGGUGAGUGCUAAUUACCUGUGCUGAACCAUUAUGGGGCCCCAAACUUUCUGACCAUUCGAGUUAUACUCCAGAGUCUUGAUGUUGACUGAAUUGAAAAUUUGGAGCUGUCGAGACUCGAGCUUCGUUUUUCGUGGAUUAGUGGUUAUUGAAUUUUUAUGCCUUUAGCCCAUGCUUGCAGGAACACAAUUAUUGAGUGGAACAAUGGGUGUAAAAGAGUAUGUGCAGAGUAAAUUUGAUAAUGUAGAAGCUCAGAUUAGAAGCACAAAUACGGUCCUUUUUUCCAAUUUUUGGAAGCAACAGUUUUACUGCUGCUCCUCCGAUGACCGAGGGUAGGCUGCAACUCUAGAUACAGAGAAAGCGAGUACAUAUAUAUAAUCUUUCGAUUCUUCUUUUUGUUUGUGAUGCUGCUGCAUUUUUCUUAAGCAGGGCUUGCCACUUUGUUGCAGUUGUGAGUUCUUUUAGUUUCCUUUUUAUGGGCAACCUGGAGCUCAAUUCUUAAAUUCCAAGGCCAUCGAGCAGGACAUGGAUCACAUACUAGGAGUUUUAGUUAUGUAUGCAUCUAAUGUGGGCAAACGCAUGGGCACAUUCUUUUAUUUGGCUGGUGCAAAACCUAUGAAGUUUUCCCUGUCAGCUAAUUUAAUGUGCUUACCUCUGCAUUAGACAGCUAGCUAUUAUGAUUAUACACUACGUUUCCUAUGUUAUGUGCUUGGUUUUCCUCUUUUGCUCACUCCUUCCAUUGUUGGUGAAGGACCGGUCAGUCCAUAGUUCAUCGUUUGGCUUGCUUCUCGCUAAGCUCUUUCUUCCUUGUCUCCUGUUCGGUAAAAUGUCUGAGAGCUGACACAGUUUUGUUUCUCGUUUCCUUGCCUGUCCAGGUUCUUUGUUGAUUCGUUGGCAGUUCCUAAUUUUUUUCCUGUAGCCGGUUGAGGGAUUCCACCAUUAGCAUAAAGAUCAAGGCGGCGAGCGGCCACAAUUGGCUACAUCGUCUCAAGGAGAAGAAUUCUUACAUGAUCCCUGUAACUGCUCGUUUUGUUAAUGUCUUCGCCCUAUGGGUCCAGGUUCUCAACUUCAGUCCUUCACAAUGCAAUGUGUCCAGGAUCUAAGAAUAGACAUAUAACACUUCUUAUAAUUCAGACCAUGCUUGCCAAUAAAGUUGAAUGUGCUGGAGCAAUAGUUCUAAAACUUCAUUAAGUCGAAGUAGGCAACAUUUUUUCUUAGUGGCCUUCUUUCUCCGUCGUAUCUCAAAUGCAAGCAAGCAUGCCUUUGCUAAGGGCUAGAAGAAGCCAAUGAGUAUGUCUAGGAUCUCUUUUAUAUUACUAAGGAAUACCUCUUUAUUUUUUCUAAAUGCACAUGAUAGACUGUCUGAUACUGAAAAAGUAUAUUGCAACUUCAGAAAUUUAUGCAAAUGAUGGCUCUAAGGGUUAGAAGAAGCCAAGGAGUAUGUGAUAGGCUUUUUUGAUAGUUUAUCAGAAGAAAGUGUAGAAGAAAAUGGAGAGGAUGAUGAAGUGACUCAAAUAGAAGUACGAAAUAUCUGCGUCAGCAAGCUAGGUAUGUUCGAGGAAAUAAUACUAUGCAACAUAUUUUGUAACCCUUGUUUGUAUGCUUGUGUAGACUGACCAGCUAAGUUUAUCCAUGAAGGCCUUCGUAGAUAGACAUCAUACAUGAUAACAAUGUGUGGGUAACAUCUCAACAAGGGUGUAUUUAUCUGAACUAUCAGCUGCAAUUCUUUUGGUUCCCAAUUCUUCCAGUUGUCCAGAUUAGCUGAUUGUCCAAAAGCUUAUUAGUGAAUCUGAUGGGUCAUCUCAUGCUUGCAAGCUUAAUCUUUUCACAUUGGAUUUUCUUGUGCUUAGUUUUGUUCUGACCAGACUUAUUUCUUAGUGCUCCUCCGUGUUCCUCUGCAUAACUGGAUGUGCGGAAGCACCUUACGUGAUUAUGUGAUGAUUCUUACAAUCCUGCCAAUUGUGUCACAUAUGGAUAAGAGGAUAUAUAUUCUAGAAUAUCACAAAAACACACAUUUUUACUCUGGUUGUCAUUGGUUGGUUGAUUCAACAACAUUUUGGUGCCUUGCAAUAUGAUUUUCACAAUCGUAUCAAUGCAAGCUCAUAGGUACCAUCUGUAUAAAUUUCAGAUUAACUAUCUCAGUCUCGAAGUUUAUAGAUUUGGUGGUUCGUUUGCAAGUACGUGAACAACAAGUUAAGCAAUAAGUACAAGGCGGCGAGGAGAGUUGCAAAUCGAUGACCGGCACUUCACAUUACAAAAUUUUCAUUCUUUUUUUUUUCCUGGCUCAUGUUCGUAUUUUGUUUCGGAGACAAAGAAUAAUCGAGUUUUGAUUGGGACCCUGUUGUGGGAGAAACGGCUAUAUUUGAAGGGUACAAAAACUAUUUUGAGCAGCUAACUACACUUUUUUUUGAUAACAGCAGCUAACUACACUUGGAAUGAGUAGUUGCUUCUGCUUGAGGACGCCAUGGACAAGUUACUCUGGCCCUGGCGCCGCAGCCAUGGAUAUACAUGUCUAAUUGUUGCUCUUAUGUAAUUUGGUUGCUUUUGAGUAGUUGGUCUCAAAGAAUUUCAUAGUUGCCUGGAUGUUGUAUUAGUUAAGCUAUUUCUAGAUCUGCCACAGGCUGAGUAUUAUAACUGUGAUUUGGUCGUAUUGGUAGCCUCCCGAGCUAAUCUUUUGUAGGUUUUCUUAGCUUGUUUCUAUGAAUAGGAUUUGGUUUAGUUCUCAAUUGUAGUUUGUUGUUAAUGGUUAUUCGGAUGGGUGUGGCCUCUUUGAAGUCGUGGUUAUGUUUUCAUUUGCACUAGGCUGGUCGUGUUGGUAGCCUCGCGUCGUAGUCUUGAUUUGAUACGUCCAAUUAUGAUUUAGACUUUAUUUUGCACAUCUUAUUGCUUAUACUUCAUAAGUUGACAAAGCUGCUCACAUAAGGUCAUUUUCUUUUUAUGGUUUCUCAGUUUGUAUAGUUUACUUGAAUGUUGAUAUGCUUCUCUGCAGAAUGCUUUUGCAGUUUCCUGUUCAUGGGGUACUCUUAAUUAGUGAGUUAUUUUUUCUUUGAAUGGUUAAGCAAUCCACGAUUCACUAUGAAUGAAGUGGGAGGUCUAAGGGAACAACUAAGGUUACAUUGCAAGGUGUGAUGAUGCCCGCCUUUUGUUCAACUUUUAUAGACCUAUUAGCUUGCUAUGCUUGACGACUAAACGCUUGCUGCUGCACUUCUGUUAUUUAUAUUCUUUUUUGAACAACUAGCGCUCGUCUGUGUUGUGUAUGAGUGAACACUGCAAUGAUCUAUUUCAGUUAAGUGCACUUGUUUUUAACA